RNAcentral lists this non-coding RNA (30 nucleotides) under Mus musculus (house mouse). Lineage: Eukaryota; Metazoa; Chordata; Mammalia; Rodentia; Muridae. The record is from RNAcentral.
UGAGGAUAGACAUUGGCUCACUUUUCCUGU